RNAcentral lists this ribosomal RNA (326 nucleotides) under Nanodromia narmkroi. RNAcentral describes it as "partial 12S ribosomal RNA". Lineage: Eukaryota; Metazoa; Arthropoda; Insecta; Diptera; Hybotidae. The record is from RNAcentral.
AAAAAAAUACUGGAGUAGUAAUAGUUAUAGGCUUGAAACUAAAAAAAUUUGGCGGUAUUUUAGUCUAUUCAGAGGAACUUGUUUUAUAAUCGAUAAUCCACGAUGGACCUAACUUAAAUUUGUUAAUCAGUUUGUAUACCGCUGUUAUAGAAAAUUUUAUAAGAAAAAUAAUUUUCAAUAAAUUAAAUAAAAUUAUAUAUCAAGUCAAGGUGCAGUUUAUGUUUAAGUAAAUAAUGAGUUACAAUAAUUAAAAUUAAACGAAUUAAAUAUUGAAAUAUAUUUAUGAAGGUGGAUUUGAAAGUAAAUUUUUAAAGAUUAAAAAAUUG